Mastacembelus armatus (zig-zag eel) is the source of this 1911-nucleotide long non-coding RNA. The record is from Ensembl. NCBI's taxonomy places the organism in Eukaryota, Metazoa, Chordata, Actinopteri, Synbranchiformes, Mastacembelidae.
AUGCAUAGAACCAGGACGGUCUUAUGUGUAUAUUCCACGAUUUGCAGGACACCGGUGGGAAAUGGUCUGGGGUUAGUAACUCGGAGCUUUCAACAAGCAACUGUAUUUUUCCUGCAUUAUUGUUCAUCUUCAUUAGACUCUGUCGCCUUCCUGUUUUGCCUGUAUUUGAAAGUGAAGAAAGAACAUACCACUAUCUUCUGUAAGCAUUAUUCAUGCCAUAGUAACCCCAAUCAUACAUAAACAUGAAACAAAUCUCUGCUACUUCUAGUUUUUUUCAGAUACAUGUGAAUAUGUACCUCAAACUUACCUCAAAGAAAAAGAAGGUCAUGUAUUGAUAGAUGAGUCAUUCUUCUGGCUGUGUUUUCUGAUGACUUUUAAACAGGAAAAACAACAUUUUUAAGAAACAUUAACUAUAUACUAAACUAUGUUAUUUUCAUCUAUGGAAAAAUAUUCUUGGCUGCCAGUGUUUGAGGUAGAGUUAGUUUAUAAUAGAAGUUAAUUUAUAAUCUUCUAAGAAAAUGAUAUACAGUAUGAAAUCCCCCUGCAAUAUCACAGAUACUGUACAGUUUGUACUUUUUAUGCCAGAUCUGCAGGACAGUAUAUCAGUUUAAUUUUAAACUAUACAGCCAUCAUUUAUGUCUGUCACUGUACUGUUUUGCAGAAAAGCAUUAGGAAUAUGUCAAAACAAAGUGAUUUCUUCUAGUGAUACAUCAUGAUCAUUUAAGAAGCUGCAGUAAUUAUGGAACUAUGGAAAAGCAAAUAUUUUUGACAAAUCUAGUAACUCCUGUGUACCCAUUAUGUUAUCUAUUUAUGUGUGAAUUACUUUCAUAACUUACCAAAGGGUUUUUAAAAUCUCCAGUGACAAUUUGAUGUAAUAUUGUAAAGUAUGACUAAAGCAUUGAGGACAAUGUCUUUCGUUUUUGUUUGUACUGUACUGUAUUUAUCUUUGAUAGUUUUGACUGCACACUGCUGUUUGAAUGUAACCAGUGGUGUUUUAUUCUGUGGAUUUGAGAAACACGCAUAUGUGUGCGUGUGUGUGUGUGUACAUACAAUGUCUCUUUUAUAUUAUUUCAGUAAUUUAGAUAAUGUUGCUAUCUUGUGUGUAUCUGCAUACUAAUACAGUAUAGUAUAAAACUAGCCCUCAAUUUUAGUUGUGUUUUUCUUUGUGUUCUGGUAUGUUUUUCUGUUGAAUGUACAUUUACCAGUGGACCAUGUUUGGUGGUAUAUUUAUUAAAGCACCAGAUCUUGCUUCAUCUUCAAAAACACUAGCAGGAGUUAUCAUAUAAAUGUUUAUUUAUAAUAUACACUUAGUAAACACAAUUUAUUUUUAGUGUCAAAGUCAAAUCUGACAAAUUUUUAAAAACUGCAUAAUGCAUUAACACUUUGUUGCUCUAUGGUGGGCUUUUCUUUUUAUGUCAUUCAGGUCCCUAAUGCAAUGCAUGCAUAGUCUGUUACAGAAAUAUUUGUUAAGUGAGGGUCAUUACUAAGACUCUAGAAAUACAAAUGAUCCAGGGUCCCACAUAGUCAGUAAUCACUGUGAUUUUUGCUAUACAAAUUCUAAUCACAAUACAAACUCCUACUUUUCAUCUUGAUUCUGUUCUACACUUCUCCUGCAACACAGAUAACAUAACUGAUCUCCACAAUCACUGUGUUGUUGUAUGAUAGCAUUACAUUGUACCACUAUGUGUGAUUAUUGUGCAUAGUUGGUGUUAAAAUAGAUCGAUGUGGCAGUGUGUCAGAUGGCCAGUGUAAACUGGACACAAUAGCCGUUGGCACACAGUGUGUGAAAAUGUCUAUUAAUGCAGCAAUAGGCCUGUGUGUGCCGUAGGGAUGUUUCCCUUCUUUCCCUUCUUUCUACUUCAAUAAAUUUUUUGUCCCAUAGUUUGUAAAAUCCUCUUAUUAUCAUAGACC